UGGCGAGCCAGAGCCCGUGGCGAACAACCCCUCCUCGCCUAUGGACCGCUGCUUCCUGUGAUGGUACACUCUUCUCGGGAUAUUAUAGCCAGGAGAAUCCGACAUCUCUGCUUGACAGUGCUUUUGCAGGGGUCUUAAGUUCGGUUCCUCAGCUUGCUGCCUUUCUCCAGCUGGGCGUCGACCCACUGCUCUAACCAAUAUCGCCGUCUACCAUAUGCUCUGUCGCGUUCAGUUUCUGCUGAUCUCUGGAAACAUAUGGACAGAUAACCAUGUUACUUAAAUGCAUGCAAAGACUUUGAAGGGGAAACAGAACUAUUCGAUCAAGAAUCGAACCCUAUGGCUCAAAUAGUAUUCUCUGAUCCUUUCCCUCUUUAUGGAAGCCUCUCUUUUAGUCAUGAAAUGAGCCUUCGCCUCCUCCUUUACACUUGAGGGUGUUUAUUGCCUGCUGCCGCACUGCCCAGCCGCGGAUCAGCGCUUGCAGCUUCACUACUCCUUUCAAUGCCCGCAGUGCCUUCCUCGCCUGAAUUAAUAAAGCCACGGAAAGCUGCUUGAAUUUUGAUGGCAGCCAAAUUCCAGAGAUGCUGGCUGUUGCUUCUAUUGCAUGCUCGAUGCCUAGCCUUGUGGGAAUCCUCAAUCCGCGAGGCUGUGGCUGCUGGUAUUGGAGAAGCAGCCACAGCAUCUUUAGUUGGUUCUGCUGUUUCCCAUUGCAGCCGGUCCUUAGCCGUGGACAGCUCCUUCAUCUUUAGUAGUCGGAAUGCCCAUCGCUGCUGCUGCUGCCGCUUGCGAUCCUUCUUCGGAACAUCGACACAAAAUUCAGAGACGAAGAGCCUCUUGAGAAAGGUGAACCACGUCUUCUUCUUGGCCAUAGCCAUAGCGAUGAGAGUAGAGAGAUCAGAGCAUGAUUGAGGGAGGAGAAGAGUGAGAAAUUGGAGGGGGUUCUUUAUGAGCGAGAGAGAAGAAUCAGUAGAUCAAUAAUAAUAAUAAUUCCAGCAGGUCCAUGAUGGAGUGGCGUGUGUUGGGCCCGGCCCCAUAAAAGAAAGAGGAGGAGGAGGUGGUGGAGGAUUCACACUCUCUCGCUCAUCAUUCUCUCUUUCUCUCUGUAUCUUUUACUCAUAAGCCAUAACCUGUGGAGUGGAGGGAAAUGCAAGCAAAGCAUGCAUGCAUAAUACAAGCAGCAUAAAAGAAUCUACAGGUUUUAUGGGACCGUAGCUAAUUUGUGAGGGAUAGAGAGAGAAAAGGCACCCCCACACAACACAUGGCGGUAGGAGCCCCCCACGAAGUGAAAUUUCAGUAACAUUACAUGAUCAAUACGAAAGUGAUACUAAAUUAAAGGGCUAUGUUGCACUUUCUCACUCUACUGCCUUUUCCAUGCAUCUAUCUACACACACACACACACAUAUAUAUAUAUAUAUAGAGAGAGAGAGAGAGAGUCUGACUGUGUGUAUAUGCCUUUCUUGCUAACUUUCAUUUACAGUCUUACUUUUUGAGAUUGCCCUUUUUAUUUAUUGAGAGUGGUAUACAUGUGGUGGUGUUUGGGAAUGGAUGAGUU
Andrographis paniculata is the source of this 1549-nucleotide long non-coding RNA. RefSeq lists it as uncharacterized. The record is from RefSeq and is a predicted model, not a curated record. Lineage: Eukaryota; Viridiplantae; Streptophyta; Magnoliopsida; Lamiales; Acanthaceae. The transcript is spliced from 6 exons.